Molecule: ribosomal RNA, 745 nt
Filed under: uncultured Cellulomonas sp.
Lineage: Bacteria; Bacillati; Actinomycetota; Actinomycetes; Micrococcales; Cellulomonadaceae
Description: bacterial SSU rRNA
Rfam family: Bacterial small subunit ribosomal RNA
Source: RNAcentral
AGUCGAACGGUGACGACCAGCUUGCUGGUCUGAUCAGUGGCGAACGGGUGAGUAACACGUGAGCAACCUGCCCCUGACUCUGGGAUAACGACCGGAAACGGUCGCUAAUACCGGAUAUGAGAGGCCCGGGCAUCCGGGUUUCUGGAAAGUUUUUCGGUCAGGGAUGGGCUCGCGGCCUAUCAGCUUGUUGGUGGGGUAAUGGCCUACCAAGGCGACGACGGGUAGCCGGCCUGAGAGGGCGACCGGCCACACUGGGACUGAGACACGGCCCAGACUCCUACGGGAGGCAGCAGUGGGGAAUAUUGCACAAUGGGCGAAAGCCUGAUGCAGCGACGCCACGUGAGGGAUGACGGCCUUCGGGUUGUAAACCUCUUUCAGCAGGGAAGAAGCGCAAGUGACGGUACCUGCAGAAGAAGCGCCGGCUAACUACGUGCCAGCAGCCGCGGUAAUACGUAGGGCGCAAGCGUUGUCCGGAAUUAUUGGGCGUAAAGAGCUCGUAGGCGGUUUGUCGCGUCUGCUGUGAAAACCUCAGGCUCAACCUGGGGCUUGCAGUGGGUACGGGCAGACUAGAGUGCGGUAGGGGUGACUGGAAUUCCUGGUGUAGCGGUGGAAUGCGCAGAUAUCAGGAGGAACACCGAUGGCGAAGGCAGGUCACUGGGCCGCAACUGACGCUGAGGAGCGAAAGCAUGGGGAGCGAACAGGAUUAGAUACCCUGGUAGUCCAUGCCGUAAACGUUGGGCACUAG